This is a non-coding RNA of Pelobates cultripes (western spadefoot toad), 294 nucleotides long. The record is from the annotation of a GenBank genome assembly. NCBI's taxonomy places the organism in Eukaryota, Metazoa, Chordata, Amphibia, Anura, Pelobatidae.
GGCAUACCUUGAGUCUGUGUAAUUAUUAACAAGCUUCCUAUCAGACAUUUUACAUGUUACCAUAAGGGCUAUUAGUUCAGCCUCUUGUGCAGACUUGGAUGAUGGGAAUGAAGAUGCUUGGAGUAUUUGGUCUUCUGUGGUGACAGCAAAUCCGGUAUGAUAUUGUCCAUGUGUGUCUGCAAAUCUAGAGCCAUCCACAAACAGGGUAAAGUCAGGAUCUGGUAGAGCAGCCUUGUGCACUGUUGGGAGAUGGGUUGUCUCCAUUUUCAUCUGUUCAAAACAAUCAUGAGGGGC